AGGAGAGAAUAUUACUGAAGGGUGAAAGGCGUGAGGAAUUGCAAAUUUAGCUGCUGCGUGCUGUCUGCAAGGAAGCAAUCCAAUUGGCUGUCGCUAGGUGGCGCGAGCGUCUUCGGCCAUUUUGUUCCUUGACGAAUGAGAAGUGGGAUGCUGCAUGCUGGUCGUGACGUUUCCCAAAAUUCCCAUGGUGAAAAUGUAAAGGUGAUUUCAAUACCACUUUGUCAAACCAGAAUCUAACUCGGAAGCCUGUCCAUUUUGCUGAAAUGUCGUGCCUCGUGUGUCUUGCUGCCUGCACCCAGUCGUAUGUCUCGUGCCAUGCAAAAGCAAAAGUCCGCUGUUGGUUACCUUGUUGCAGCCAGGUGGUGAAAGAUGUGAUGGAGACUAAUUGAACUGUUGUAUGCAGCGUGUGGUUCCAGUGUUAUCCAGAAGUAGCUGUGCUGGCGGUAUCCUGAACUAGCCUGAAGUUGCCAGUGAUAUCCGGGUCGCUGACUUUAAAUAUUUUUCUGUUUGCAUUUUGUGUAUUUGCCCUGCCAAUGUUAUCCUGUGUUUGAAAUCUGUUCUCUUUCGUGUUUUUUUUUGCUCUACCAGUGAUUUCCUGUGUUGCAGUCUUGAAAUGGUUUCACUGUCGUCUUUGGCGUUUUUAUUGUGCAGUAUACGAUUGAGGCAACCUGAUCUAUGUCAGGUUUGACACAGUCGACAACUGCUAGAUUAAAUUCCGGCUUUCUGCACCAACAAAAUAAUAACGGCACAUGUUAUUAUCGCGGUUGGGAAAGUCACAGGCCCCCCCCUCCCUGGGGGCCAUAAAAUUUACAUGUGGUUAUGUUUGUAAAAAAUAAAAAAAUAAAAUACAUAUUAAAAGAAU
RNAcentral lists this long non-coding RNA (862 nucleotides) under Daphnia pulex (common water flea). RNAcentral describes it as "uncharacterized LOC124191285, transcript variant X4". The record is from RNAcentral. Lineage: Eukaryota; Metazoa; Arthropoda; Branchiopoda; Diplostraca; Daphniidae.